Ctenopharyngodon idella (grass carp) is the source of this 2032-nucleotide long non-coding RNA. RefSeq lists it as uncharacterized. The record is from RefSeq and is a predicted model, not a curated record. The transcript is spliced from 9 exons. Lineage: Eukaryota; Metazoa; Chordata; Actinopteri; Cypriniformes; Xenocyprididae.
AUCGUUUCUAAAAGUAAACAAUAGUCUUUUAUAUUAUAUAGGCCUAUCAAAACAAAUUAUUAGAAAAUUGUCUGGAAAAUGUUUAUUUUGUAUUAAUAAUUGAUGUUUUGUCUUUUUCUAACCAAUUUAAGUAGCUAUUAUGAUUAUAAUUGGUUUUAAUAUAGGCCUAUAUAUAUAUAUUAAUUAAUAUUUUUUAAUUCCUCUUAAACUUUGCUGUCCUCAAGGCUUGAAAUCCUCUGCGCAACCCCUGAAAUGUACUGUAAUUGUCUGUCAUUGUGUUCUCUGUAUUCAGCUUAUCUUUCAUGUUGCCGCUACAAUUGCAUGUGAUAGAACAGAAAGCAUCAUGAUAAAAAGGAAAUUCAAACCUCAAAACCGGUUCUGCCCUUCAAUCUGAAAGUGAAAAUAUCCUUUUCAUGCCAAGUCACAGUCUCUGCCAUUUGAAGGUAAAAUCACACUUGAAACAGUGAGUCAAAGCAGAAUGACAGUUUAACAAGUCCAAGAUGAACUAUCAUUCCAAUGGGUGCUAUGGAUGUUUACAACCACUAUAAAUAUUACCAUUUUUUCUCUAUCUGCUUUGGCCUGGGCUGUGGACUAUUACUAUACAGGCCAUUUUACUCCAUUGUGGUGCCGUCAGUUCUUGGUGUGUUCUUCACAGUAAUGUUUGAAUUUGUGGGUGCAUCCUUUGGUUUGCCACCACAUACCAGAAGAUGUAGGGGUCGACCUUACCACUGGAAAGAUGUUGUCUGGGGUUAUUGUAUGGCUUUCUUUGUGACCAUCCUCCAUCUCAGAUCUUAUCAUGUUUAUACUCUGUCUUGUGGCUGGGGCCUUGUUGUGUUUGCCUUAAGAGGAGCAAUACGCAAAUAUAAUGCUCUAUGGAGGAGAUGGCGUUACCAUGACUGAAAUUAAAUUAGUGUUUACUAAAGGUGUCCAUCUGUGCAUUCAUCCACAUUUAUAUCAAAGCAAAUGUGAUUUAAUUUUGUACUAAUUACAAUAUCUGCCUCCAAAACAAUAUAUUAAUAUUGUUUUAUUAUUUAUGUUACCUUUUACAUGUUGCUGUUUCGUGUUGUUUACUAUGUAACGUUUGUCCCUCUAGUGGUUAAAAAUAAAACUGCAUGCAUUACAAUGUACUCUGUUAGAGAGCUACGGAACAAUUUAUGUUUAUUGAAAUACCUUACUUACCUGUUGAGUAAUGAAAACGCUGUUUCGCCAUUUCCGCGUCGCUUUUACAAUAUUUCAAAUCCCUCAGUUCUCAUCAGAUCCGAAAAGGCAAGCCGAUGACGUUUAAUUACGAGCUCUGUUGCGUUUUCUUUUUGCCAGCAGACUCUCCUCCGUUUGGCGUUUGUUUUUAAAUGGGUGAUUUUGAGAUUCAGCUGCUCCAUGUCAAACUUUCUCACUCGAUGUGACAACAUGCCACUCCCACACCGUCAAAGUAGCCGGUGUCAUGACAUCGCGUCUUCCCUCGAAAUCCACAAACUGUCAGUUAAUGAUUAUCCUAAGUAUAUACUAAUGAUAUUAAUUUAAAAUAGGCAUAGCGUACUAUAUAAUACGUAAAAAAUAAUAAUAAUAAUAAUAAAAAAUAGUGCAUAAUAAAACCAAUUGAACGUAAUUUUUUUACACUUCGUUAAUUAAUAAAUAAUAAUAAUAAUAAUAGCAUUUUAAGUGAAUAAUUGAAUUCAUUUGUUUUAUUAACUGGACAUUUAACACUUAAUUUAACACAAUUACAUUAAAGAUGAUUGUGAAUACAUGUAGGGUAAGUGCAAAUAGAGACAGAGCGACACGCGUCAUAAUCUGAAAACCACGCCCACCGGCCUAUUAAAUAGGCCUACACAUUCUACAUAAAUGUUGUGGAAGAUGCCUUUUUUACUUUGUAUAAAAGUAUAGUUUAGUAUUGUAGGCAUUUUAUAUAGCAAACAAAUACAUUCUUCCCAUUUCUUUUAAUAUACAGCAUGUUCCCACUGAGACAACUUACCCAAGAGUGUGACAACAUACCCCAAUAGUGGCUUAUGUGUUCUUAAAUGACCUGUGCUGCGGA